Molecule: ribosomal RNA, 380 nt
Filed under: uncultured eukaryote
Lineage: Eukaryota
Description: partial 18S ribosomal RNA
Rfam family: Eukaryotic small subunit ribosomal RNA
Source: RNAcentral
CAAUAGCGUAUAUUAAAGUUGUUGCAGUUAAAAAGCUCGUAGUUGGAUUUGUGGCGUACGGUGUGUUCCGGGCACUUGUUGUCUGAGUAACCUGCUGUUGCCAUCCUUGGGUGGAACCUGUGAGGCAUUAGGUUGUCGUGCAGGGGAUGCCCAUCAUUUACUGUGAAAAAAUUAGAGUGUUCAAAGCAGGCUUAUGCCGUUGAAUAUAUUAGCAUGGAAUAAUGAGAUAGGACUUUUUUGCUAUUUUGUUGGUUUGCGCAAAGAGGUAAUGAUUAAUAGGGACAGUUGGGGGUAUUCGUAUUCCAUUGUCAGAGGUGAAAUUCUUGGAUUUUUGGAAGACGAACUACUGCGAAAGCAUUUACCAAGGAUGUUUUCAUUAA